Heterocephalus glaber (naked mole-rat) is the source of this 918-nucleotide long non-coding RNA. Lineage: Eukaryota; Metazoa; Chordata; Mammalia; Rodentia; Bathyergidae. The record is from Ensembl.
UGCAAAGACUGCACUGUGUCAGAAAGGCCAAUAGCAGGCUUAACCCCUACUUAACCCCAGCCUGCCAUGGUGGCCUGAUGGCUUAUGUGGCCCCUAUGUGUGUCCUUUUAAAUUCUAGCUUACUAGUCACAGGAGUUAGGCUUCUUCUGCCAAAAAUAGGGCUCUGGCCACAUCUCUAAAGGAGGGCCCCUGAAGCAUACACAGAGGGCUGGCUGCCAAGACUGGCAGAGUGAGACAAGUACUUGAAAUAAACUCAGGGUGUUUGCUUACGGAUUCUUCUCCACCACCUCAUGGCCUUCUUCAUGUUCCACUUAGCCUUGUCUGUGGAUGGUCCUUUUUUGGGAUUCAAGGCAAAUCCCUAUUUCUGCUUUUGCUGCUGCUGUUCCAUCUCCUUUCCACUCCCCAAAGAGAUUUCAUCUGGACAGGAGCUGAGUGAGACAUAAAUCUGUGAUGUGUGGAGCUGAGUAACACCCUUCCUCCCACCUGAGAUUUCCAUCUGAUGACUUACCAGGGAACCAAUGAACUUCUGUGAAGAAUGCUUAAACCAUGCUCGGAAAUGGGGUCAGGCAUAUGCUGUCUCACUGAUACUUUUUGGAGUUCUGGCUGCAGCCACGUUUCAGGAAAGCAGUUUGGAUUCUCAAAGGAGAAGUCACUGAAGGUCCAACUAGCUGGCCUAGAGAGCCAGACAGCAGUAGGCCUGGUCUCCAGAGAGGGGCAGUGCCAAGGUCUCUGAGAACGCUUGGAGGAGGGCCCAGGUGCCAUAACUAGGUGACAUGCUCAAGUAGCCUCUGUAAUGCUUUGGGACCCAAAGCAAACCUGUGAAGGACAAAGGGUGCCAUUCUCCUCUUCCUCUUGGCAGUGACUAGGGCUAUCAGGGGCUUGGCAGUUGUGUUGGAAAGUCUCUAUCCAGUUCAGCAG